RNAcentral lists this ribosomal RNA (552 nucleotides) under Escherichia coli. RNAcentral's name for it is "bacterial SSU rRNA". It matches the Rfam family "Bacterial small subunit ribosomal RNA", at positions 993 to 1533 of the family's 1533-position model. RNAcentral also lists the same sequence under 7 other names. Lineage: Bacteria; Pseudomonadati; Pseudomonadota; Gammaproteobacteria; Enterobacterales; Enterobacteriaceae. The record is from RNAcentral.
GAAGUUUUCAGAGAUGAGAAUGUGCCUUCGGGAACCGUGAGACAGGUGCUGCAUGGCUGUCGUCAGCUCGUGUUGUGAAAUGUUGGGUUAAGUCCCGCAACGAGCGCAACCCUUAUCCUUUGUUGCCAGCGGUCCGGCCGGGAACUCAAAGGAGACUGCCAGUGAUAAACUGGAGGAAGGUGGGGAUGACGUCAAGUCAUCAUGGCCCUUACGACCAGGGCUACACACGUGCUACAAUGGCGCAUACAAAGAGAAGCGACCUCGCGAGAGCAAGCGGACCUCAUAAAGUGCGUCGUAGUCCGGAUUGGAGUCUGCAACUCGACUCCAUGAAGUCGGAAUCGCUAGUAAUCGUGGAUCAGAAUGCCACGGUGAAUACGUUCCCGGGCCUUGUACACACCGCCCGUCACACCAUGGGAGUGGGUUGCAAAAGAAGUAGGUAGCUUAACCUUCGGGAGGGCGCUUACCACUUUGUGAUUCAUGACUGGGGUGAAGUCGUAACAAGGUAACCGUAGGGGAACCUGCGGUUGGAUCACCUCCUUACCUUAAAGAAGC